UAUCUCAUUAACAACUUUAAAUGAAGAUUUAUUUAUUUUUGUAAGAAUAUCUAUAUUAUCUAUUAUAGGUUUUGAGGCUCUUUUGGAGGUAUGUUCAUUGUUCUAUGAAGUUUUAUUAUUGUAUUUGACAAAUCUUUUGUUGUUGAGUUUUAACUUUUAAAGAGUCAAAAAUUAAAAAAUUAUGAAAAAUAAUUACAAUUUACAAAAAAAUAUGUUUUUUUAGGAAAAUAAUAUAUCUUAUUAUUAUAUAAAAAAAUUAAGUAAUUUUAAGAGAGUUCUCUAGUUGUCUUAGUGAUAAUUGAUGGUAUAUUAUAAAUAUGGCUUUAUUAUUUAAUUUAUAUACUACAUUUUUUCAUUAAUUUAAAGAUAAAAAGUAAAUAAAGUUGACAUGAUAACAACCUUUAAUAUGUUGGUUAGUAUUCUCAAAAAACUUAGUACAAACUAAGAUCUUUAAUUAAAAAAAUCAUUAAUAGAAAGUCUAGAAUAUUAAUAAUUACUAU
RNAcentral lists this long non-coding RNA (500 nucleotides) under Physcomitrium patens. RNAcentral describes it as "long non-coding RNA (PPAT_LNC004608)". Lineage: Eukaryota; Viridiplantae; Streptophyta; Bryopsida; Funariales; Funariaceae. The record is from RNAcentral.